RNAcentral lists this ribosomal RNA (673 nucleotides) under uncultured bacterium. Its description in RNAcentral is "bacterial SSU rRNA". It matches the Rfam family "Bacterial small subunit ribosomal RNA", at positions 139 to 808 of the family's 1533-position model. The record is from RNAcentral.
UGGGACAGCCCGUCGAAAGGCGGAUUAAUACCGUAUGUUGUCAUGUUGAUGCAUAUUUUCAUGACCAAAGGCUUCGGCCGGUAAAGGAUGGGGAUGCGUCUGAUUAGCUUGCCGGCGGGGUAACGGCCCACCGGGGCGACGAUCAGUAGGGGUUCUGAGAGGAAGGUCCCCCACAUUGGAACUGAGACACGGUCCAAACUCCUACGGGAGGCAGCAGUGAGGAAUAUUGGUCAAUGGGCGCGAGCCUGAACCAGCCAAGUAGCGUGCAGGACGACGGCCCUAUGGGUUGUAAACUGCUUUUAUACGGGGAUAAAGUAUGCCACGUGUGGUUUAUUGCAGGUACCGUAUGAAUAAGGACCGGCUAAUUCCGUGCCAGCAGCCGCGGUAAUACGGAAGGUCCGGGCGUUAUCCGGAUCUAUUGGGUUUAAAGGGAGCGUAGGCCGGGUUUUAAGCGUGCCGUGAAAUGUCGGGGCUCAACCUUGGCACUGCGGCGCGAACUGGAGUCCUUGAGUGCGCGGAACGUAUGCGGAAUUCGUGGUGUAGCGGUGAAAUGCUUAGAUAUCACGAAGAACCCCGAUUGCGAAGGCAGCAUACGGCAGCGCUACUGACGCUGAAGCUCGAAGGCGCGGGUAUCGAACAGGAUUAGAUACCCUGGUAGUCCGCGCGGUAAACG